RNAcentral lists this ribosomal RNA (477 nucleotides) under uncultured bacterium. RNAcentral describes it as "bacterial SSU rRNA". It matches the Rfam family "Bacterial small subunit ribosomal RNA", at positions 23 to 518 of the family's 1533-position model. The record is from RNAcentral.
CUCAGGAUGAACGCUGGCGGCGUGCUUCAUACAUGCAAGUCGAACGAGAAUUGGUAGCUUGCUACCAAGGAAAGUGGCGGACGGGUGAGUAAUACAUAGGGAAUCUGCCCUUAGCCGGGGGACAACAGUUGGAAACGACUGCUAAUACCGCAUAUGAGUAUGGUUGAGAUACUAUACUUGAAAACUCCGGUGGCUAAGGAUGAGCCUGUGCCUGAUUAGUUAGUUGGCGGGGUAAAGGCCCACCAAGGCGACGAUCAGUAGCUGGUUUGAGAGGAUGAUCAGCCACAAUGGGACUGAGACACGGCCCAUACUCCUACGGGAGGCAGCAGUAGGGAAUUUUGCGCAAUGGGCGAAAGCCUGACGCCAGCAACGCCGCGUGUGUGAUGAAGCCCCUAGGGGUGUAAAACACUGUCAGUGGGGACGAAAGAUGACGGUACCCACAGAGGAAGCACCGGCUAACUCCGUGCCAGCCGCCGC